RNAcentral lists this ribosomal RNA (382 nucleotides) under uncultured bacterium. Its description in RNAcentral is "bacterial SSU rRNA". It matches the Rfam family "Bacterial small subunit ribosomal RNA", at positions 30 to 395 of the family's 1533-position model. The record is from RNAcentral.
AGUGAACGCUGGCGGCAGGCCUAACACAUGCAAGUCGAGCGGCAGCGGGUUCCCGCGAGGGGAUGCCGGCGAGCGGCGGACGGGUGAGGAACACAUCGGAAUCUGCCUGGUUGUGGGGGAUAACGUAGGGAAACUUACGCUAAUACCGCAUGCGACCCUGAGUCGACGGACUGGGGGUGAAAGUGAGGGACCUUCGGGCCGUCACGCGACCAGAUGAGCCGAUGUCGGAUUAGCUAGUUGGCGGGGUAACGGCCCGCCAAGGCGACGAUCCGUAGCUGGUCUGAGAGGAUGAUCAGCCACACUGGGACUGAGACACGGCCCAGACUCCUACGGAGGCAGCAGUGGGAAUCUUGGACAAUGGGCGCAAGCCUGAUCCAGCCAU